UUGAAGUGUGGUGAAUUUUUGAGAAUUUUUGAGAAGAUGUUGAAAUUGCCUUUGUGAAUGUGUGUGUGUGUGUGUGUGUUGCUAUUAUCACAAUGAAAAGGCAUUGCAACGAUGAAAUAAAUGCAAAGAUCGAAUAGAAGUUUGUUUAACCAAAUCACCUUCCUAGUGGCUACAGUCAUAACCCAGUAUUCCGCGACUUCCCAUAUCAAUGUUCUCUCCUUUGAAGUAGGUUUUUUCUUGUCAUUCCAACAAACUUACGCGCCUGUUCCAAUUUGGAAUUCUAGGUUCUUCAAUGAGAUAGUGGAAUAGGAGAAAGCUAAACCACACAUGUAUGAUGGGGUUGACACUGGGCCAUGGUGAGCAUGACUCGAGCCAUUAUGGCUCAUGUUUGGAAAUCGGCCUUGCACGCAUGAUCACAAACAGGGGAGAAAUUUUCUCCUAUGGCAAAAUUUAUCUGUUGGAGUCCCUCGACCACCCAAACCAUGAUUUUUGUACAAAAAAGUGUAUAAAAGGUACGUACAAUUAGUAUUAUUCUUUUGACAAUUGAUUAGUAGAAAAUUGAAAUAAAGGAAAUAUUAGGGCUGUUUGGUUUGUGUUUGGUUUUUAGAUUUGAAUUUUGAAGCUAUUUUCAAUUUUUUUGCUUU
This 644-nucleotide long non-coding RNA is filed under the name Olea europaea (common olive). RNAcentral's name for it is "long non-coding RNA (OEUR_LNC011886)". The record is from RNAcentral. Lineage: Eukaryota; Viridiplantae; Streptophyta; Magnoliopsida; Lamiales; Oleaceae.